GACGAACGCUGGCGGCGCGCCUAACACAUGCAAGUCGAACGAGCGAGAGGAGGUUUACUUUCUCAAGCGAGUGGCGAACGGGUGAGUAACGCGUGAGGAACCUGCCUCAAAGAGGGGGACAACAGUUGGAAACGACUGCUGAUACCGCAUAAGCCCACGACCCGGCAUCGGGUAGAGGGAAAAGGAGCAAUCCGCUUUGAGAUGGCCUCGCGUCCGAUUAGCUAGUUGGUGAGGUAAUGGCCCACCAAGGCGACGAUCGGUAGCCGGACUGAGAGGUUGAACGGCCACAUUGGGACUGAGACACGGCCCAGACUCCUACGGAAGGCAGCAGUGGGGAAUAUUGCACAAUGGGGGAAACCCUGAUGCAGCGACGCCGCGUGGAGGAAGAAGGUCUUCGGAUUGUAAACUCCUGUUGUUGAGGAAGAUAAUGACGGUACUCAACAAGGAAGUGACGGCUAACUACG
RNAcentral lists this ribosomal RNA (464 nucleotides) under uncultured bacterium. RNAcentral's name for it is "partial 16S ribosomal RNA". It matches the Rfam family "Bacterial small subunit ribosomal RNA", at positions 28 to 505 of the family's 1533-position model. The record is from RNAcentral.